This 327-nucleotide ribosomal RNA is filed under the name uncultured eukaryote. Its description in RNAcentral is "partial 18S ribosomal RNA". It matches the Rfam family "Eukaryotic small subunit ribosomal RNA", at positions 1470 to 1796 of the family's 1831-position model. The record is from RNAcentral.
CCCCUAGAUGUUCUGGGCCGCACGCGCGCUACACUGAACAGUUCAACAAGUCUUAACCUUGGCCGAUAGGUCUGGGUAAUCUUUGAACGCUGUUCGUGAUUGGGAUAGAUUAUUGCAAUUAUUAAUCUUCAACGAGGAAUGCCUAGUAAGCGCAAGUCAUCAGCUUGCGUUGAUUACGUCCCUGCCCUUUGUACACACCGCCCGUCGCUCCUACCGAUUGAAUGGUCCGGUGAAGCGCUCGGACCGCGGCCUCUUGACGGUUUUCCGUCGAUUGGCUGUGGGAAGUUCGUUAAACCUUAUCAUUUAGAGGAAGGAGAAGUCGUAACA